Molecule: long non-coding RNA, 1061 nt
Filed under: Olea europaea (common olive)
Lineage: Eukaryota; Viridiplantae; Streptophyta; Magnoliopsida; Lamiales; Oleaceae
Description: long non-coding RNA (OEUR_LNC013569)
Source: RNAcentral
UAAUAAUAGGAGUAAAAUGACUUCAUAGAGAAAAUUUUGGAGCUAAAAUAUUAGUAUGUUUAUAUGAUAGCAGAUUCACAGACAUAGAAUAGGGAUUAUUAGGAAGCAUAGAAUUAGAUAUGAAUAAUAAAGGCGAAAUAGUAUAUUUUAUACCAGACUACUUAAUAUGAUUCGGAGUGGGUCGCAUAGAAAUAAAUUUGGAAGAAAAUCUUUCCUUUCGCAAGAAGUUUUAUUUCCAUUAGAAUUUUAUCUUUUUUGGUAACUUUCAUGUUUUAGGAGAUUUAAUCACUUUUUUAAUUAUUCUCUCAAGUUUUAUUCUUUUUAAAACUAGUUCUAGGUUUUCACUAUAAAUAGGAUUUAUUCUCUACAAUUGUACCAAGACUUUUAUUAUGAAAAUUAGAGAAUUUUCUCUCGAAGCUUUUGCUUCAUUUAUCUUUGUUCUGGAUGGGACAACUCACUGAACUUAUCAGGAAUUGUUAAUUCUCGUAGCGUUCAAAAUCAUUGGGUGAGAAUUACAACACGUGCAAUCAAGGGGUCUUUUAAGCAACGCUGUUGCUGGGUUUUUUUGUUCACUGUUUUGGAAUUCAAAUCCACAAAUUCGAGUAUAAUUUCGAGGCUUUGUGAUCAAGAAGUUGUGGGUUUCAUAUACCUCUGAUUGCUUGGUUCAACGUUUGGAGAUUAGAUCCUAAACAUUGGUCGUAUUUUGACAUUCUUGGAAUUCGGUGUCAAUUCCUAUAGGUUCGAUUGCAACCUUGCUAACCGGUUAUGCAUCAUUUGGUAUUAGAGCUAAGGCACCAAGAUCGAGGUUAUAUCCCUUUUUUUUAUUUUUGUUGAGUCAGUUGUUAUUUUUCUUUAUUGUUUUUCGUGUUCUUCGAGUCAGUCAGUAGUUGUGAGUCUUUGAUCAAAAAAAUUUCAAAAGUUGUUUUUGGAUUCAAUUUGCGUCCAAAUCAACUUCCAUUUGUUGCAUCAGCGUCUUUUUUGAUUUUUCUAUCCUAAGAGUAAAAAAAUAUUUAUCUUUCAUUUCGUACAGUAUUGUUUAGUCCGUACGGUACAGGAAAAAA